Armillaria nabsnona is the source of this 130-nucleotide non-coding RNA. The record is from the annotation of a GenBank genome assembly. NCBI's taxonomy places the organism in Eukaryota, Fungi, Basidiomycota, Agaricomycetes, Agaricales, Physalacriaceae.
GGCAGAAUGGCCGAGCGGUCUAUGGCGUGUGACUCAAGUUCAGCUUAUGUGAUCAUCACAUAAUCAGACUUGCCCGAUCCGGGUUUCUCAUCAUCGUAUGAUGGCAGGGGUUCGAAUCCCCUUUCUGUCA